CCACUUAGAUAUACUUGGCUCACUACCCUUACUCCUCCAAAUCGUAAUUGCAACCCUAAUUCAUCGUCGGCACCACAUCUCCCGUUGGCAUCCAUACUCAGCGCCAACAGCACCAUCAUCAUCUCCCUUCCGAUCGCCGACCUCCAAAACAAUAUAACCCAACAAGCCACUCCUUUACAUCAACGUCGAAAAGAAACCACCAUUCGCACCACCCAUGACCACAAGCUGCCGAUUGCAGUUUCCUCUGCGUC
RNAcentral lists this long non-coding RNA (251 nucleotides) under Olea europaea (common olive). RNAcentral's name for it is "long non-coding RNA (OEUR_LNC015288)". The record is from RNAcentral. Lineage: Eukaryota; Viridiplantae; Streptophyta; Magnoliopsida; Lamiales; Oleaceae.